RNAcentral lists this ribosomal RNA (450 nucleotides) under activated sludge bacterium LB30. RNAcentral describes it as "bacterial SSU rRNA". It matches the Rfam family "Bacterial small subunit ribosomal RNA", at positions 56 to 516 of the family's 1533-position model. The record is from RNAcentral.
UGCAAGUCGAACGAUGAACCAGGUGCUUGCACUUGGGGAUUAGUGGCGAACGGGUGAGUAACACGUGAGCAACCUGCCCCUCACUCUGGGAUAAGCGCUGGAAACGGCGUCUAAUACUGGAUACGAGUCGCAACCGCAUGGUUAGUGACUGGAAAGAUUUUUUGGUGGGGGAUGGGCUCGCGGCCUAUCAGCUUGUUGGUGAGGUAAUGGCUCACCAAGGCGUCGACGGGUAGCCGGCCUGAGAGGGUGACCGGCCACACUGGGACUGAGACACGGCCCAGACUCCUACGGGAGGCAGCAGUGGGGAAUAUUGCACAAUGGGCGGAAGCCUGAUGCAGCAACGCCGCGUGAGGGAUGACGGCCUUCGGGUUGUAAACCUCUUUUAGCAGGGAAGAAGCGUGAGUGACGGUACCUGCAGAAAAAGCGCCGGCUAACUACGUGCCAGCAGCC